GGAUGGGGAUGCGUCUGAUUAGCUUGUUGGCGGGGUAACGGCCCACCAAGGCGAUGACGGGUAGCCGGUCUGAGAGGAUGUCCGGCCACACUGGAACUGAGACACGGUCCAGACACCUACGGGUGGCAGCAGUCGAGAAUCAUUCACAAUGGGGGAAACCCUGAUGGUGCGACGCCGCGUGGGGGAAUGAAGGUCUUCGGAUUGUAAACCCCUGUCAUGUGGGAGCAAAUUAAAAAGAUAGUACCACAAGAGGAAGAGACGGCUAACUCUGUGCCAGCAGCCGCGGUAAUACAGAGGUCUCAAGCGUUGUUCGGAAUCACUGGGCGUAAAGCGUGCGUAGGCUGUUUCGUAAGUCGUGUGUGAAAGGCGCGGGCUCAACCCGCGGACGGCGCAUGAUACUGCGAGACUAGAGUAAUGGAGGGGGAACCGGAAUUCUCGGUGUAGCAGUGAAAUGCGUAGAUAUCGAGAGGAACACUCGUGGCGAAGGCGGGUUCCUGGACAUUAACUGACGCUGAGGCACGAAGGCCAGGGGAGCGAAAGGGAUUAGAUACCCCUGUAGUCCUGGCAGUAAACGGUGCACGCUUGGAGUGGGGGGAAUCUACCCCCGUGCUGCUGGAGCUAAUGAGUUAAGCGUGCCGCUGGGGGAGUACGGUCGGCAAGAUCAAAACUCAAAGAUAUUGACGGGGACCUGCCCAAGCGGUGGAGUUUGUGGCUUAAUUCGAUGCAACGCGAAGAACCUUACCUGGGCUUGACAUGUAAUGCACAACAUGGUAAAGCAUGUGACUCUUCGGAGGCGUUACACAGAAUACAGCAUGGCCGUCGUCAGCUCGUGUCGUGAGAUGUUUGGUUAAGUCCAGCAACGAGCGCAACCCCUGUUGCCAGUUACCAGCACGUGAAGGUGGGGACUCUGGCGAGACUGCCCAGAUCAACUGGGAGGAAGGUGGGGACGACGUCAGGUCAGUAUGGCCCUCAUGCCCAGGGCUGCACACGUACUACAAUGCCCAGUACAGAGGGGGCCGAAGCCGCGAGGCGGAGGAAAUCCUAAAAACUGGGCCCAGUUCGGACUGUAGGCUGCAACCCGCCUACACGAAGCCGGAAUCGCUAGUAAUGGCGCAUCAGCUACGGCGCCGUGAAUACGUUCCCGGGUCUUGCACUCACCGCCCGUCA
Molecule: ribosomal RNA, 1167 nt
Filed under: uncultured bacterium
Lineage: Bacteria
Description: bacterial SSU rRNA
Rfam family: Bacterial small subunit ribosomal RNA
Source: RNAcentral